UACGAAGGGGGCUAGCGUUGCUCGGAAUUACUGGGCGUAAAGGGCGCGUAGGCGGUUUGGUCAGUCAGGCGUGAAAUUCCUGGGCUCAACCUGGGGGCUGCGCUUGAUACGGCCAGACUUGAGGACGGAAGAGGCUCGCGGAAUUCCCAGUGUAGAGGUGAAAUUCGUAGAUAUUGGGAAGAACACCGGUGGCGAAGGCGGCGAGCUGGUCCGUUACUGACGCUGAGGCGCGACAGCGUGGGGAGCAAACAGG
Molecule: ribosomal RNA, 253 nt
Filed under: uncultured bacterium
Lineage: Bacteria
Description: partial 16S ribosomal RNA
Rfam family: Bacterial small subunit ribosomal RNA
Source: RNAcentral